Molecule: ribosomal RNA, 440 nt
Filed under: uncultured bacterium
Lineage: Bacteria
Description: partial 16S ribosomal RNA
Rfam family: Bacterial small subunit ribosomal RNA
Source: RNAcentral
CCUCCGUUCUGCCGCCGUGGGGGCUAUUGCACCAUGGGGGAAACCCUGAUGCAGCGACGCCGCGUGUGGGAAGACGGUCCUCUGGAUUGUAAACCACUGUCCCCAGGGACGAAGAUGACGGUACCUGGGGCGGAAGCUCCGGCUAACUACGUGCCAGCAGCCGCGGUAAUACGUAGGGAGCGAGCGUUGUCCGGAAUUACUGGGUGAAAAGGGAGCGUAGGCGGGACUGCAAGUUGGGUGUCAAAUCUACCGGCUCAACCGGUAGCUGCACGCAAAACUGCAGUUCUUGAGUGAAGUAGAGGCAGGCGGAAUUCCUAGUGUAGCGGUGAAAUGCGUAGAUAUUAGGAGGAACACCAGUGGCGAAGGCGGCCUACUGGACGGUGACUGACGCUGAGGCUCGAAAGCGUGGGGAGCAAACAGGAUUAGAUACCCCAGUAGUC